Molecule: long non-coding RNA, 413 nt
Filed under: Homo sapiens (human)
Lineage: Eukaryota; Metazoa; Chordata; Mammalia; Primates; Hominidae
Description: long non-coding RNA NONHSAT113915.2
Source: RNAcentral
AUUUCAAAGUACAGAAAAAACUGGGCAUACACAUGCCCUACAAAGCAGCCAAAAGACAUUCCCCAGUCUCUCUCAGGAAAUGUUUCAAGAUGAAAAGCAAAAGUCUGAAGUCCCUUGGAAUCUUGGGUUGAUUUCUUCAUUAUUCUCAAGGCUAGGUUGUUUUCCCCCAGCAUACUUUGUUGGGCAAAAAUAAAACAUUUCCAAAUAAAAGCAACUCCUCAGCCCCAAUUUUCAAUGCAAUAUGCUUAUUAAAAGUUCAACAUUUCUCAAGGUCUAGACUUAUAGUGUGAUCAUAUUACAGUACUCGGGAAGAGCAUUUUCUUUGUUGUUGACCCUGCUGUGGUGAGGCGGGAGGAGACGUCGCCGAAGGGGGAUGGCUCCAUUCGGAGAUACUUCUGCGGCGAGGCGGCCGC